This 26-nucleotide non-coding RNA is filed under the name Cricetulus griseus (Chinese hamster). The record is from RNAcentral. Lineage: Eukaryota; Metazoa; Chordata; Mammalia; Rodentia; Cricetidae.
UAGUUGUGAGAGUGGAAUAGCAUUGC